CCUACGGGUGGCUGCAGUGGGGAAUUUUGGACAAUGGGGGCAACCCUGAUCCAGCCAUGCCGCGUGCGGGAAGAAGGCCUUCGGGUUGUAAACCGCUUUUGUCAGGGAAGAAAUCUUCCGAGCUAAUACCUUGGGAGGAUGACGGUACCUGAAGAAUAAGCACCGGCUAACUACGUGCCAGCAGCCGCGGUAAUACGUAGGGUGCAAGCGUUAAUCGGAGCUACUGGGCGUAAAGCGUGCACAGGCGGUUGGAAUCCCCGGGCUUAGCCUGGGAACUGCACUUGUGACUGUACGGCUGGAGUCCGGCAGAGGGGGAUGGAAUUCCGCGUGUAGCAGUGAAAUGCGUAGAUAUGCGAAGGAACACCGAUGGCGAAGGCAGUCCCCUGGGCCUGUACUGACGCUCAUGCACGAAAGCGUGGGGAGCGAACAGGAUUAGAUACCCGGGUAGUC
RNAcentral lists this ribosomal RNA (450 nucleotides) under uncultured bacterium. RNAcentral's name for it is "partial 16S ribosomal RNA". It matches the Rfam family "Bacterial small subunit ribosomal RNA", at positions 338 to 795 of the family's 1533-position model. The record is from RNAcentral.